This 655-nucleotide long non-coding RNA is filed under the name Nicotiana tabacum (common tobacco). RNAcentral describes it as "long non-coding RNA (NTAB_LNC008529)". Lineage: Eukaryota; Viridiplantae; Streptophyta; Magnoliopsida; Solanales; Solanaceae. The record is from RNAcentral.
CCUAGAACUUAAAAGUAUUCCCGCAUUUUACUGGUGGGCGACCUAGAACUUAAAAGUAUUCCCGCAUUUUACUGGUGGGCGACUUAGAACUUAAAAGUAUUCCCGCAUUUUACUGGUGGGCGACCUAGAACUUAAAUGUAUUUCCGCAUUUUACUGGUCGGCGACCUAGAACUUAAAAGUAUUCCCGCAUUUUACUGGUGGGCGACCUAGAGUUGAAAAUAUUCCCGCAUUUUACUCGUGGGCGACCUAGAGCUGAAAAGUAUUCCCGCAUUUACUGGUGGGCGACCUAGAACUUAAAUGUAUUCCCGCAUUUUAUUGGUGGGCGACCUAGAACUUAAACAUAUUCCCGCAUUUUACUGGUGGGCGACCUAGAACUUAAACGUAUUCCCGCAUUUUACUGGUGGGUGACCUAGAACUUAAAUGUAUUCCCGCAUUUUACUGGUGGGCGACCUAGAACUUAAAUGUAUUCCCGCAUUAUACUGGUGAGCGACCUAGAACUUAAAUGUAUUGAAAUUGUUUCCCCGUUCUUCCGAGAAAAUUUUUGACAAUCGGCAGAAAAUUUUCUGCCCCAGUUUUUGGUGAUUUCCCUGGCGUUGCGUCUUGCUGCCAUUAUCAAUCCUUUGUUUUCCUGCAGCAGAUAAAAGGAUUUAGUUAG